RNAcentral lists this non-coding RNA (313 nucleotides) under Paenibacillus alvei. RNAcentral's name for it is "T-box". It matches the Rfam family "T-box leader". Rfam says of the family: Uncharged tRNA acts as the effector for transcription antitermination of genes in the T-box leader family. T-boxes are found upstream of many aminoacyl-tRNA synthetase genes and some amino acid biosynthetic genes usually in Gram-positive bacteria. Lineage: Bacteria; Bacillati; Bacillota; Bacilli; Caryophanales; Paenibacillaceae. The record is from RNAcentral.
CAACAAUUGAUGACGAGAACGAGUACGCUAUGAAGCAGUCUGAAGAGAGUCGACGGGUGGUGCGAGUCGAUGGCUGACAUGGCAGAAUAUCCUCUCCGAGAUUCCCUGCUGAAUGCGAACUGUGCGCCUCCUAUGCUUUGUGGGGUUGCGGGGCACAGAAGUCUGAGUAAGCAAGGACGGCAUUUCCACCGUUACCCGGAUUCGCGAUGAAUACGCGGCCAAGCGCUGCAGCAGAGAAGGUCGAUUUCCGAAGAGGAAGCGAUGUUCAGCUGUAGAACAAGGGUGGUACCACGAGCUCAAACUCGUCCCUUCU